This 75-nucleotide ribosomal RNA is filed under the name Medicago fischeriana. RNAcentral describes it as "partial large subunit ribosomal RNA". It matches the Rfam family "Eukaryotic large subunit ribosomal RNA", at positions 1 to 74 of the family's 3401-position model. The record is from RNAcentral. Lineage: Eukaryota; Viridiplantae; Streptophyta; Magnoliopsida; Fabales; Fabaceae. RNAcentral also lists the same sequence under 2 other names.
GAGACCUCAGGUCAGGCGGGACUACCCGCUGAAUUUAAGCAUAUCAAUAAGCGGAGGAAAAGAAACUAACAAGGA